UAGUGAGUUUGAUCCUGGCUCAGAACGAACGCUGGCGGCAUGCCUAACACAUGCAAGUCGAACGAAGCCUUCGGGCUUAGUGGCGCACGGGUGCGUAACGCGUGGGAAUCUGCCCUUGGGUACGGAAUAACAGUGAGAAAUUACUGCUAAUACCGUAUGAUGUCUUCGGACCAAAGAUUUAUCGCCCAGGGAUGAGCCCGCGUAGGAUUAGCUAGUUGGUGAGGUAAAGGCUCACCAAGGCUACGAUCCUUAGCUGGUCUGAGAGGAUGAUCAGCCACACUGGGACUGAGACACGGCCCAGACUCCGUACGGGGAGGCAGCGAGUGGGGUAAUAUUGCACGAAUGGGGCGCAAGCCUGAUGCAGCAACGCCGCGUGAGGG
Molecule: ribosomal RNA, 380 nt
Filed under: uncultured Sphingomonadaceae bacterium
Lineage: Bacteria; Pseudomonadati; Pseudomonadota; Alphaproteobacteria; Sphingomonadales; Sphingomonadaceae
Description: bacterial SSU rRNA
Rfam family: Bacterial small subunit ribosomal RNA
Source: RNAcentral